AUCUAUAGCCAUACCACCCUGAACACACCUGAUCUCAUCUAAUCUCAGAAGCUAAGCAGUGUCAGGCCUGGGUAGUACUUGGACGGGAGAAUUGUAUUUUAUUUCUAGACUAGUAUAUC
Erinaceus europaeus (western European hedgehog) is the source of this 119-nucleotide ribosomal RNA. The record is from Ensembl. Lineage: Eukaryota; Metazoa; Chordata; Mammalia; Eulipotyphla; Erinaceidae.